Molecule: ribosomal RNA, 432 nt
Filed under: uncultured bacterium
Lineage: Bacteria
Description: partial 16S ribosomal RNA
Rfam family: Bacterial small subunit ribosomal RNA
Source: RNAcentral
AACGAACGCUGGCGGCAUGCCUAACACAUGCAAGUCGAACGAGACCUUCGGGUCUAGUGGCGCACGGGUGCGUAACGCGUGGGAACCUGCCCUUAGGUUCGGAAUAACUCCCCGAAAGGGGUGCUAAUACCGGAUAAUGUCUUCGGACCAAAGAUUUAUCGCCUUUGGAUGGGCCCGCGUUGGAUUAGCUAGUUGGUAGGGUAAAAGCCUACCAAGGCGACGAUCCAUAGCUGGUCUGAGAGGAUGAUCAGCCACACUGGGACUGAGACACGGCCCGAACUCCUGAGGAGGGGAGCAGGGGGGAAAAAGGGACAUCGGGCGAAGGCUGAAUCAAGCAGGGCCGGGUAAGGAUGUAAGGCCUUAGGGUUAAAAAGCUUUUUAACCCGGGGGGUUAAUAAGGGACCGGAAGAAUAAAGCCCCGCCUAACACCGG